AGGAAAAACAGAUUGAAAUAUUCAUUUAGUAAUUGCGACAAACACAUAACCUGCAUAAACAAAGGAAGCAUCCUCACUCACCCUGUUCCAGUAAUUUGAUAGAGAAAGAAGUCAUCAUCCUCACCUUGAAUCAAGCUAGCUGAAGACGGCUGCGUCUGAGAAUUUACAUAACCAUCUUGGCGGCGGCGGAACACAGACCUCGCUCUAUUUCUGUAUUUCGCUCAAUCAAUCACGGACGAAGAGCAAAGUCUCACACUUUGAGUGGUUGCAGUUGUGAUUUCAAUGGAGUUUAGUCUUUAUCCAUGAAAAUUAUGUCAAGAUUCAAAUGUUACAGCAUCACCUUGCGGGCUACUCCCCGCCUCAUAGCAGUAGUAAACAUAGCUCUUCAGCUUCCGAGGUUCUAUUCUGUGGAGGUAUCUGAGUCGAGGGCUAGGCCCAAGGCGUCGUCAAGUAAUCACCAAGAUAUAGUCAAUGAGUUCUCCGCGUAUUGCUAUCAAAAGGACCUUCCCAAUGCAAUGAAAGCAUUGGACUCUAUGCAUAAACACAAGCUAUGGGCAGACUCAGUCACUUACGCGGAGCUCAUUAAGUGCUGCAUAGCCCGUGGAGCCGUUAAACAAGGAAAGCAAGUCCACCACCAUGUUUUCUCAAAUGGCUACGAGCCCAAGACUUUCCUUAUCAACACACUUGUUAACAUGUAUGUGAAAUUCAAUUUGCUGGAUGAAGCGCAGGUAUUGUUUGACCGGAUGCUGGAGAGGAAUGUCGUCUCAUGGACUACUAUGAUUGCUGCAUACUCUAAUUCCGAGCACAAGUAUAAGGCCUUGCAGAUGCUGAUUAUGAUGCUUAGGGAUGGUGUUAGACCGAACAUGUACACGUAUUCUUCAGUUCUGAGAGCCUCUGAGGAGAUUUCUACCCUCAAACAGCUUCACUGUUGCAUAAUCAAGGUGGGUUUGGAGUUGGAUGUUUUUGUCAGAAGUGCUUUGAUCGAUGUUUACUGCAAAUGGGGUGAACCGAAAGCAGCUCUUUACAUAUUCGAUGAGAUGGGAACUUCGGAUAUAGUGGUGUGGAACUCCAUCAUUGGCGGGUUCUCUCAGAACAGUGAUGGAGAUGAAGCCCUCAAUCUCUUCAUCAGAAUGAAGAGAACUGGUUUCUGGGCUGAUCAGUCGACUCUAACAAGUGUUCUGCGUGGUUGCACUGGUUUAGCGCUGUUGGAGUUGGGGCGACAAGUCCAUGUUCACGUCAUCAAGUUUGAUCGAGACUUGGUCCUUAACAAUGCCCUUCUAGACAUGUAUUGCAAGUGUGGUAGUUUGAAAGAUGCCAACGCCAUCUUCACUCGAAUGGUUGUAAAAGACGUGAUCUCUUGGAGCACCAUGGUGAUAGGGUUUGCCCAAAACGGUUACAGCCGGAAAGCUAUAGAUUUAUUUGAGGCGAUGAGAGCUACGGGGAUGAAACCGAAUCACAUCACAAUUUUGGGGGUUCUGUUUGCCUGCAGCCAUGCUGGACUAGUGGAAGACGGGCAGUAUUACUUUGACUCGAUGAAGAUGGACUUCGGAGUUGAUCCGGGAAGGGACCAUUACGGCUGCAUGAUUGAUCUCCUUGGAAGAGCAGGGAAGCUCGAGGAAGCUACGAAGCUAAUUCAUGAAAUGAAAUGUGAACCAGAUGCAGUGACAUGGAGAACUCUGCUCGGUGCGUGUAGGGUUCACUGUGAUAUGGAUCUAGCUGAGUAUGCUGCCAAAAAGGUUUUGAGCUUGGAUCCUCGUGACGCAGGAACGUACACGCUUCUAUCUAAUAUCUACGCCAACAGCCAAAGAUGGGACGAGGCUGCGAAGUUGAGGAGACUCAUGAGGGAUAGAGGGAUCAAGAAAGAACCGGGAUGCAGUUGGAUCGAGAUAGAUAAGCAAGUUCACGCUUUCUUGUUGGGCGACGAAGCUCAUCCGCAGAUCAAUGCUAUUCAUCAAGAGCUGAGCCGUGUGAUUCGGAGAUUAAAGGAGGAGGGUUACGUGCCAGACACGAAUUUCGUGUAUCAAGAUCUUGAAGGAGAACAGAUGGAGAACUCUCUUGUAUACCACAGUGAGAAGCUGGCGAUUGCUUUCGGUAUUAUGAGGCUGCCUAAAGGGAAGACAGUAAGAAUCAGAAAAAAUCUGAGGAUAUGUGGCGACUGCCAUGUUUUCGCAAAGCUUUUGGCGAAAAUGGAGGAGAGAAGCAUCAUCAUCCGGGAUCCUAUUCGUUACCAUCAUUUUCACGACGGAGCUUGCUCUUGCGGUGACUACUGGUAGCGUGAAACGAACACGCUCACAGAGCUGAUUUGCAGCCAUAUAUGACCUUCUUCAACUCAGUUGAAGUGAGCUGAUUUGCAGCCAUAUAUGACCUUCUUCAACUCAGUUGAAGUAUGCUACUCAGAUUAUACUCUCUGGUAUAGGAGGACGCGAUACUGCAAAAUCUGCUUGCCGUGUGCAGCCCUUUGCUCGAAUCGCGAUUACGGAUUACUUGCUGGUGAGAUUAUGCUCAAUGAGUUUGAAGAUGGAUGGUUACAGGCUUCAUUUCUUUGGUGGUAUCAAAUCUAUGGAGAAAAAUUCCAACUUAUACUCCCUCUGUCUCGCGAAGCUUGAGUAAUAUCUUUUCGGCUCGAGCUUUAAAAAGUUAGUAUUUUAUGUGUCAAGUGUAGUAGGUGAUAAAGUGAAAAGGUGAAUGAAGAGAAAUUUUUUUGCCAUAUAAGAAAAGUGAUAAAGCUUCGAGCGACAACCCAAAAAUGAACACUGCUCAAGCUUCUAGGGACGGAGGGAAUAUUUCACAGCUGCAGAAAGCACCAUCAUUCUCUCUUUGUUAAAUGUAGUUAAUCUUUUUUUGACAUAUGAAAUGUUUGCAAUACUUUUUGGGAA
Salvia miltiorrhiza (redroot sage) is the source of this 2876-nucleotide RNA transcript. It is a transcript of the gene named pentatricopeptide repeat-containing protein At2g03880, mitochondrial-like, with no coding region annotated. The transcript has 5 exons. Lineage: Eukaryota; Viridiplantae; Streptophyta; Magnoliopsida; Lamiales; Lamiaceae. The record is from RefSeq and is a predicted model, not a curated record.